GACGAACGCUGGCGGCGCGCUUAACACAUGCAAGUCGAACGGAAAGGCCUGCUUUCCCUUGUGGAUUGCGGGUACUCGAGUGGCGAACGGGUGAGUAACACGUGAGUGAUCUGCCCCCAACUUGGGUAUAAGCCUGGGAAACUGGGUCUAAUUCCCGAUAGGACUGCAGGGUGGUGCCUGUGGUGGAAAACGAUUUUCUAGUGGUUGGGGAUGAGCUCGCGGCCUAUCAGCUUGUUGGUGGGGUAAUGGCCUACCAAGGCGGCGACGGGUAGCCGGCCUGAGAGGGUGGACGGCCACAUUGGGACUGAGAUACGGCCCAGACUCCUACAGGAGGCAGCAGUGGGGAAUAUUGCACAAUGGGCGGAAGCCUGAUGCAGCGACGCCGCGUGGGGGAUGACGGCCUUCGGGUUGUAAACUCCUUUCGACCGCGAGGAAGCCACCUGGUUGGAAGGGUGGUGACGGUAGUGGUAGAAGAAGCACCGGCUAACUACGUG
This 494-nucleotide ribosomal RNA is filed under the name uncultured bacterium. Its description in RNAcentral is "partial 16S ribosomal RNA". It matches the Rfam family "Bacterial small subunit ribosomal RNA", at positions 28 to 507 of the family's 1533-position model. The record is from RNAcentral.